Molecule: ribosomal RNA, 440 nt
Filed under: uncultured bacterium
Lineage: Bacteria
Description: bacterial SSU rRNA
Rfam family: Bacterial small subunit ribosomal RNA
Source: RNAcentral
CCUACGGGGGGCUGCAGUGGGGAAUAUUGGACAAUGGGCGAAAGCCUGAUCCAGCAAUGCCGCGUGAGUGAUGAAGGCCUUAGGGUUGUAAAGCUCUUUUACCAGGGAUGAUAAUGACAGUACCUGGAGAAUAAGCUCCGGCUAACUCCGUGCCAGCAGCCGCGGUAAUACGGAGGGAGCUAGCGUUGUUCGGAAUUACUGGGCGUAAAGCGCACGUAGGCGGCCAUUCAAGUCAGAGGUGAAAGCCCGGGGCUCAACCCCGGAACUGCCUUUGAAACUAGAUGGCUUGAAUCUUGGAGAGGCGAGUGGAAUUCCGAGUGUAGAGGUGAAAUUCGUAGAUAUUCGGAAGAACACCAGUGGCGAAGGCGACUCGCUGGACAAGUAUUGACGCUGAGGUGCGAAAGCGUGGGGAGCAAACAGGAUUAGAUACCCCGGUAGUC